Sciurus carolinensis (gray squirrel) is the source of this 107-nucleotide small nuclear RNA. NCBI's taxonomy places the organism in Eukaryota, Metazoa, Chordata, Mammalia, Rodentia, Sciuridae. The record is from RefSeq and is a predicted model, not a curated record.
GUGCUCGCUUCAACAGCACAUAUACUAAAAUUGAAAUGAUACAGAGAAGAUUAGCAUGGCUCCUGUGCAAGGAUGACACAAAAAUUCAUGAAGCAUUUCAUAUUUUU